RNAcentral lists this ribosomal RNA (486 nucleotides) under uncultured bacterium. RNAcentral describes it as "bacterial SSU rRNA". It matches the Rfam family "Bacterial small subunit ribosomal RNA", at positions 62 to 543 of the family's 1533-position model. The record is from RNAcentral.
UCGAACGGCAGCGCGGGCUUCGGCCUGGCGGCGAGUGGCGAACAGGUGAGUAAUAUAUCGGAACGUACCCAGAAGUGGGGGAUAACGUAGCGAAAGUUACGCUAAUACCGCAUACGAUCUACGGAUGAAAGUGGGGGACCUUCGGGCCUCAUGCUUUUGGAGCGGCCGAUAUCUGAUUAGCUAGUUGGUGAGGUAAAGGCUCACCAAGGCGACGAUCAGUAGCUGGUCUGAGAGGACGACCAGCCACACUGGAACUGAGACACGGUCCAGACUCCUACGGGAGGCAGCAGUGGGGAAUUUUGGACAAUGGGGGCAACCCUGAUCCAGCAAUGCCGCGUGAGUGAAGAAGGCCUUCGGGUUGUAAAGCUCUUUUGUCAGGGAAGAAACGGCUGAGGCUAAUAUCCUCGGCUAAUGACGGUACCUGAAGAAUAAGCACCGGCUAACUACGUGCCAGCAGCCGCGGUAAUACGUAGGGUGCAAGCGUUA